CGUAGAGAUACGUCUUUCCUUCGGGACAUGUAUAGAGGUGCUGCAUGGCUGUCGUCAGCUCGUGUCGUGAGAUGUUGGGUUAAGUCCCGCAACGAGCGCAACCCUUAUUGCUAGUUACCAUCAUUAAGUUGGGGGACUCUAGCGAGACUGCCAGUGAUAAACUGGAGGAAGGUGGGGAUGACGUCAAAUCAUCAUGCCCCUUAUGACCUGGGCUACAAACGUGAUACAAUGGCUGAAACAAAGGGCAGCGAAGCAGUGAUGUGGAGCGAAACCCAAAAAGCAGUCUCAGUUCGGAUUGAAGUCUGCAACUCGACUUCAUGAAGUUGGAAUCGCUAGUAAUCGUAGAUCAGAACGCUACGGUGAAUACGUUCUCGGGGUUU
This 380-nucleotide ribosomal RNA is filed under the name uncultured Acholeplasma sp. Its description in RNAcentral is "bacterial SSU rRNA". It matches the Rfam family "Bacterial small subunit ribosomal RNA", at positions 999 to 1382 of the family's 1533-position model. Lineage: Bacteria; Bacillati; Mycoplasmatota; Mollicutes; Acholeplasmatales; Acholeplasmataceae. The record is from RNAcentral.